RNAcentral lists this ribosomal RNA (159 nucleotides) under Colletotrichum lagenaria. RNAcentral describes it as "5.8S ribosomal RNA". It matches the Rfam family "5.8S ribosomal RNA". From Rfam's summary of the family: 5.8S ribosomal RNA (5.8S rRNA) is a component of the large subunit of the eukaryotic ribosome. It is transcribed by RNA polymerase I as part of the 45S precursor that also contains 18S and 28S rRNA. The record is from RNAcentral. Lineage: Eukaryota; Fungi; Ascomycota; Sordariomycetes; Glomerellales; Glomerellaceae. RNAcentral also lists the same sequence under 19 other names.
AAAACUUUCAACAACGGAUCUCUUGGUUCUGGCAUCGAUGAAGAACGCAGCGAAAUGCGAUAAGUAAUGUGAAUUGCAGAAUUCAGUGAAUCAUCGAAUCUUUGAACGCACAUUGCGCCCCCUGGUAUUCCGGGGGGCAUGCCUGUUCGAGCGUCAUUU